RNA transcript from Trichechus manatus latirostris (Florida manatee), 3319 nucleotides. It is a transcript of the gene named deoxyribose-phosphate aldolase, with no coding region annotated. The record is from RefSeq and is a predicted model, not a curated record. The transcript has 10 exons. Lineage: Eukaryota; Metazoa; Chordata; Mammalia; Sirenia; Trichechidae.
GAAGAGCUGGGCGGCGAGGGAGCCUGCCUCCGAAGACCCCAGACUGCUGCUGCGGCCCGCGCCAUGUGUGCGCACAACCCGGGCACGGAGUUCGACCUUAGCUGGAUCUCCAAUAUACAAGUGAAUCAGCCAGCAGUUCUAAGGCGUGCAGAACAAAUCCAGGCUCGCAGGACCGUAAAAAAGGAGUGGCAAGCUGCUUGGCUCCUGAAAGCUGUUACCUUUAUAGAUCUUACUACACUUUCUGGCGAUGACACAUCUUCCAACAUUCAAAGGCUCUGUUAUAAAGCCAAGUAUCCAAUCCGGGAAGACCUCUUAAAAGCUUUAAAUAUGCACGACAAAGGCAUCACUACAGCCGCUGUCUGUGUUUAUCCUGCCCGAGUGUGUGAUGCUGUAAAAGCACUAAAGGCCGCAGGCUGUAAUAUCCCGGUGGCAUCAGUGGCCACUGGCUUUCCAGCUGGACAGACUCAUUUAAAAACACGAUUAGAAGAGAUCAGAUUGGCUGUUGAAGACGGAGCUACGGAAAUCGAUGUGGUAAUUAACAGGACCUUGGUGCUGACAGGCCAGUGGGAAGCCCUUUAUGAUGAGAUUCGUCAGUUUCGCAAGGCCUGUGGAGAGGCUCAUCUCAAAACCAUCUUGGCAACAGGAGAACUUGGAUGUCUCACUGACGUCUACAAAGCCAGCAUGAUAGCGAUGAUGGCAGGAUCAGAUUUUAUUAAGACCUCUACUGGGAAAGAAGCAGUAAAUGCCACCUUCCCAGUAGCUAUAGUAAUGCUGCGGGCCAUUAGAGAUUUCUUCUGGGAAACUGGAAACAAGGUAGGGUUUAAACCAGCAGGAGGCAUCCGCACUGCCAAGGAUUCCCUUGCUUGGCUCUCUCUUAUAAAGGAAGAGCUGGGAAAUGAGUGGCUGAAACCAGAACUCUUUCGAAUAGGUGCCAGCUCUCUACUUUCAGACAUUGAGAGGCAGAUUUACCAUCAAGUGACCGGAAGAUAUGCAGCUUACCAUGAUCUUCCAAUGUCUUAAAUCAGCAACCAAUUAUGGAAAAGUUCUUCACAACAAUGUUUAAAAAUUAUUUUUCUGCAUAAUUGCUAAAAUUAUUUCAUUAGAAAAAUCAGGGAAUAGGUGGUCGUUUUAGUUGAUCAAGUGAACAGGCAUCAUUAUCUUCAAUUUUAAUUUAUAUGAGGCAUCCGCUGAAAUUGACCUCUGCGGACAAUUAUAGAUUCACAUAGGAAAUUAAGACUGGUGAGUCCCUCAAACCUAUUAGAGGCUGAUGAGCAUCGCCUCAUCUACAGGUAAGUAAUGUUAUAUUUUGGGGGACAAUUUAUUCCAAGGACUAUUGGGCUCUUCAUCAGGGAUGUCUGCCCCUUCUUACCCGGCUCUUGAAAUCAACUAAUAUAGAUGACUUUAAUUUGAAGCUCCUGGUAAAUUUUGAUUGCUAUGAAAGCGUAAGAGGAAGAGGUCAUUUCUGAGGUGACCAUCAUUUACUACAAGCAGAUUUGUGUGCUUCAGAACACUGGGAGCAGAUGCUUUAUACAAUCAGAAAAUGAGUUGCUGUGUUCUGUGUUUGAAGCUUCUAAGUUAAUAAAAACAACCACCCACAAAUUGUUGGAAUUGUUCAAUAAAGCAUAUUAGGCCUUAAUGUUAUUUUUUAAAUAGUCACAUAACUUAGGGGCUUAAAUGAGACCUUAGGGAAUAUCUAGCUCAACCCCAAUCAUUUUUCACAUAAAAAAAAAAUUCAGGGUGCAAGGUCACAUAGAAAAUCAGAGCUGAGACCAGGACCCUGAUUGUCCCUGCAGCAUGGAAUAUUUUGUAAGAGACAGCCAGGCCUAUGAAAUUAAAAUUUUCUUGCUUUUUAUACACCCUGCGAUACCUAAUAUGUUUGUCAGCGUGUAAACUUCAGACUGUUAAUAGACUCACUUGUACCAGUAGAAGUCUUCUGAAUGGUGUUUUAGAGAAGACCAACCAUCAAAAUCUAGCCCAAAUGAGACAUAGUGCCGUUCAUUUCUUUACUUUUUUUUUUUUAAUUGUACUUCAGGUGAAGGUUUAUAGAACAAAUAGUUUCUCAUUAAACAGUAGUACACAUAUCGUUUUAUGACAUUGGUUAACAACCCAACGACGUGUCAAUCCUCUCCCUUCUCCACCUUUUUUUUUUUUGGUGAAAAUAUACAUAGCCAAAGAUACACCAUUUCAAAAAUUUCUACAUAGUGCAGUUAAUUUCAUCUCUUAGAAUUUCUUGGCAGUUUCUUAGAGAGCCCAAGGACAGAACAGAUAAAAUACACUUCUACUCCAUCCUACUUAGUUCUGCCAAAAUAUGUUAAAGAAAACUAUACCCCAGCUAAGAACUAGUAUUUUUCAUUUGUACAGAUCCUUUCUUCUGAUGCUACAGUUCUAAACUAAGCCCCAAAAUCUGAAUUUCUGAAUUUUGGGCCAUCUCUAAAAUUAAAGAAAAAUUAAAUAAACUAAAAGAAUAAAUUAUUUUUAAUUGAAUGUUGCUUUACUUAUAUAAACUAUCAGCCAGGGGGCUUGCUUGGAUUCUAGUUUGUCUACAAAUCACGAAAUAGUUUCAUGACUACAAUAUCUUUACCUCAUUCUGGAUUAUUUCAACACUAGCAGGAAAUUAAGACAAAUCAGUUCACAUAGAAACUAGCUUCUGAGGAGGCUUGUGCCAAAGUGGGAACUGUUACAGAUAUCUGGAAGUACAUCUUCACAGCAGCGUGAUACAAUCUCUGUCCUGAUAAGCAGAACAGUUUGCUCUGUCAUACAUACAUGUCAUACAGAAACCAAAUCUGCAGAAACCCAAUCAGUGUCUUUGGAGAAAUCAAUUUACUAGUACAGAGGAAAGCCAACAUUAAUUUUUCUUCAUCAACCUGACAGUUUUUUUUUUUUGUUUUUUUUUUGAUGCGACAGUAGGGCCGGAAUGCAGAGAUAUAAAGGAGAAGAAAGAAUUUGAAUAGAUCUUACCUUUAAAGGAAAUGAAAUAUUAUGCCAGUUUUGGCCCUUGGAAAAAGGUGUGAGGUGAAGUCAAUUUCUACAUUUGUUUUCCCGUUCUUGCUCAAGAGUCUUGCCUCCCAAAGGAAGAUAUGUAUUUUACAACCAUCACCAAAUGAUCCUUUUCAGAAAUGACCACAGGUAACAUCUGGCUGGUAUAUAAAAUAUGUAGUAAAAAUAAUCAUUUUUAAUUAACUAAAACCUGCUCAGGAGAGAGAGUCAGAGGAAUAUCCAUCUGGUCAAUUCCUAUUUAAUAGGGCAAAUGAGGAUCAGAAUGUUUAAUGCAAUAUACGUGAAAUACUUAGUGACCUUACAGUGAACUAAAACUUUAUUA